AUUGAACGCUGGCGGCAGGCCUAACACAUGCAAGUCGAGCGAGCGGCGGCCGGGUGAGUAAUGUAUGGGGACUGCCCGAUAGAGGGGGAUAACUCCUGGCAACGGUGGCUCAUACCGCAUACUUUCGGCUACCCCAUAUGGGAUUAGCUAGUAGGUAAGGUAAUGGUUUACCUAGGCGACGAUCCCUAGCUGGUCUGAGAGGAUGAUCAGACACACUGGGACUGAGACACGGCCCAGACUCCUACGGAGGCAGCAGUGGGGAAUAUUGCACAAUGGGCGCAAGCCGGAUGCAGCCAUGCCGCGUGUAUGAAGAAGGCCCUAGGGUUGUAAAGUACUGUCAGUCGGGAGGCGUUACCGACAGAAGAAGCACCGGCUAACUCCGUGCCAGCAGCCGCGGUAAUUC
This 403-nucleotide ribosomal RNA is filed under the name uncultured bacterium. RNAcentral describes it as "partial 16S ribosomal RNA". It matches the Rfam family "Bacterial small subunit ribosomal RNA", at positions 30 to 526 of the family's 1533-position model. The record is from RNAcentral.